UGAGAAGCAGUAACUUGGACAGACAAUGA
This 29-nucleotide non-coding RNA is filed under the name Rattus norvegicus (Norway rat). Lineage: Eukaryota; Metazoa; Chordata; Mammalia; Rodentia; Muridae. The record is from RNAcentral.